CAGCAGCCGCGGGAAUACAGAGGUCCCGAGCGUUGUUCGGAUUCACUGGGCGUAAAGGGUGUGUAGGAGGUUGGAUAAGUCAGGUGUGAAAUCCCGCAGCUCAACUGCGGAACUGCAUUCGACACUGUUCAACUAGAGGAUCGGAGGGGGAAGCGGAAUUCUUGGUGUAGCGGUGAAAUGCGUAGAUAUCAAGAGGAACACCGGUGGCGAAGGCGGCUUCCUGGAAGAUACCUGACUCUGAAACACGAAAGCCAGGGGAGCGAAUGGGAUUAGAUACCCGGGUAGUCCCUGUCUCUUAUAC
This 301-nucleotide ribosomal RNA is filed under the name uncultured bacterium. RNAcentral's name for it is "partial 16S ribosomal RNA". It matches the Rfam family "Bacterial small subunit ribosomal RNA", at positions 509 to 807 of the family's 1533-position model. The record is from RNAcentral.